This 1398-nucleotide ribosomal RNA is filed under the name uncultured bacterium. RNAcentral describes it as "bacterial SSU rRNA". It matches the Rfam family "Bacterial small subunit ribosomal RNA", at positions 28 to 1381 of the family's 1533-position model. The record is from RNAcentral.
GAUGAACGCUGGCGGCGUGCCUAAUACAUGCAAGUCGAACGCUUUGUGGUUCAACUGAUUUGAAGAGCUUGCUCAGAUAUGACGAUGGACAUUGCAAAGAGUGGCGAACGGGUGAGUAACACGUGGGAAACCUACCUCUUAGCAGGGGAUAACAUUUGGAAACAGAUGCUAAUACCGUAUAACAAUAACAACCGCAUGGUUGUUAUUUAAAAGAUGGUUCUGCUAUCACUAAGAGAUGGUCCCGCGGUGCAUUAGCUAGUUGGUAAGGUAAUGGCUUACCAAGGCGAUGAUGCAUAGCCGAGUUGAGAGACUGAUCGGCCACAAUGGGACUGAGACACGGCCCAUACUCCUACGGGAGGCAGCAGUAGGGAAUCUUCCACGAUGGGCGAAAGCCUGAUGGAGCAACGCCGCGUGUGUGAUGAAGGGUUUCGGCUCGUAAAACACUGUUGUAAGAGAAGAAUGACAUUGAGAGUAACUGUUCAAUGUGUGACGGUAUCUUACCAGAAAGGAACGGCUAAAUACGUGCCAGCAGCCGCGGUAAUACGUAUGUUCCAAGCGUUAUCCGGAUUUAUUGGGCGUAAAGCGAGCGCAGACGGUUAUUUAAGUCUGAAGUGAAAGCCCUCAGCUCAACUGAGGAAUUGCUUUGGAAACUGGAUGACUUGAGUGCAGUAGAGGAAAGUGGAACUCCAUGUGUAGCGGUGAAAUGCGUAGAUAUAUGGAAGAACACCAGUGGCGAAGGCGGCUUUCUGGACUGUAACUGACGUUGAGGCUCGAAAGUGUGGGUAGCAAACAGGAUUAGAUACCCUGGUAGUCCACACCGUAAACGAUGAGUGCUAGGUGUUUGAGGGUUUCCGCCCUUAAGUGCCGCAGCUAACGCAUUAAGCACUCCGCCUGGGGAGUACGACCGCAAGGUUGAAACUCAAAGGAAUUGACGGGGACCCGCACAAGCGGUGGAGCAUGUGGUUUAAUUCGAAGCAACGCGAAGAACCUUACCAGGUCUUGACAUCCCUUGACAACUCCAGAGAUGGAGCGUUCCCUUCGGGGACAAGGUGACAGGCGGUGCAUGGUUGUCGUCAGCUCGUGUCGUGAGAUGUUGGGUUAAGUCCCGCAACGAGCGCAACCCUUAUUACUAGUUGCCAGCAUUCAGUUGGGCACUCUAGUGAGACUGCCGGUGACAAACCGGAGGAAGGUGGGGAUGACGUCAAAUCAUCAUGCCCCUUAUGACCUGGGCUACACACGUGCUACAAUGGCGUAUACAACGAGUUGCCAACCCGCGAGGGUGAGCUAAUCUCUUAAAGUACGUCUCAGUUCGGAUUGUAGGCUGCAACUCGCCUACAUGAAGUCGGAAUCGCUAGUAAUCGCGGAUCAGCACGCCGCGGUGAAUACGUUCCCGGGUCU